RNAcentral lists this microRNA precursor (69 nucleotides) under Myotis lucifugus (little brown bat). RNAcentral describes it as "miRNA (ENSMLUG00000026996.1)". Lineage: Eukaryota; Metazoa; Chordata; Mammalia; Chiroptera; Vespertilionidae. The record is from RNAcentral.
CCUGCCGGGGGUCCUGGCCCUGACCCGGGUCCGGACCCUGCUCCAGCGCGUACUGCUCGGGCAGUGGCC